RNAcentral lists this non-coding RNA (360 nucleotides) under Desulforamulus ferrireducens. RNAcentral's name for it is "Desulfotomaculum ferrireducens T-box sequence". The stretch from base 1 to 250 matches the Rfam family "T-box leader". From Rfam's summary of the family: Uncharged tRNA acts as the effector for transcription antitermination of genes in the T-box leader family. T-boxes are found upstream of many aminoacyl-tRNA synthetase genes and some amino acid biosynthetic genes usually in Gram-positive bacteria. Lineage: Bacteria; Bacillati; Bacillota; Clostridia; Eubacteriales; Peptococcaceae. The record is from RNAcentral.
CAAACGACAAUGAUGGAGAAAAGUAGCUUAGCCCCAGCCUUCCAGGGAGAAGAAGUCGAGACUGGAAGCUUCUUCAAGGUAUGAUUAAGUGAAGUUCUCUCCGGAGUUGCUGUGCUGAAUCAUAGUAGGUGCAGCCGGGAUUUCCCGCCGUUAAAAGGGAACAGGUAUCGGACUUAGUUCCCGUACUGGUAAUAAGCGGCCUUUUUGGCAAUUUGGGUGGUACCGCGAAAUUUAGCAUUUCGUCCCAUAGUGGAUGAAAUGCUUUUUUAGUUACCAUAGAGAAUUAUGUCCCGUACCUUGUAGAGGUGGGUCAUUUUGUGGCCAAAUUGGGUGGUACCGCGGAUUUUCUCCGUCCCUUUU